GACGAACGCUGGCGGCGUGCUUAACACAUGCGAGUCGAACGGAAAGGCCCUGCUUUUGUGGGGUGCUCGAGUGGCGAACGGGUGAGUAACACGUGAGUAACCUGCCCUUGACUUUGGGAUAACUUCAGGAAACUGGGGCUAAUACCGGAUAGGAGCUCCUGCUGCAUGGUGGGGGUUGGAAAGUUUCGGCGGUUGGGGAUGGGCUCGCGGCUUAUCAGCUUGUUGGUGGGGUAGUGGCUUACCAAGGCUUUGACGGGUAGCCGGCCUGAGAGGGUGACCGGCCACAUUGGGACUGAGAUACGGCCCAGACGCCUACGGGAGGCAGCAGUGGGGAAUAUUGCACAAUGGGCGGAAGCCUGAUGCAGCAACGCCGCGUGCGGGAUGACGGCCUUCGGGUUGUAAACCGCUUUCGCCUGUGACGAAGCGUGAGUGACGGUAAUGGGUAAAGAAGCACCGGCUAACUACGUG
Molecule: ribosomal RNA, 468 nt
Filed under: uncultured bacterium
Lineage: Bacteria
Description: partial 16S ribosomal RNA
Rfam family: Bacterial small subunit ribosomal RNA
Source: RNAcentral